GGGAAUGUGGCUCAGUGGUAGAGCGCUUGCCUUGCACAUAUGAGUCCCUAGGUUCGAUUCCUCAGCAUCCCA
RNAcentral lists this transfer RNA (72 nucleotides) under Dipodomys ordii (Ord's kangaroo rat). It matches the Rfam family "tRNA". Rfam says of the family: Transfer RNA (tRNA) molecules are approximately 80 nucleotides in length. Lineage: Eukaryota; Metazoa; Chordata; Mammalia; Rodentia; Heteromyidae. The record is from Rfam by way of RNAcentral.